CCUACGGGUGGCAGCAGUGGGGAAUAUUGGUCAAUGGGCGCAAGCCUGACCCAGCAACGCCGCGUGCAGGAAGAAGGCUUUAGGGUUGUAAACUUCUUUUAAGAGGGAAGAGCAGAAGACGAUACCUCUUGAAUAAGCCACGGCUAACUACGUGCCAGCAGCCGCGGUAAUACGGAGGUGGCAAGCGUUGUCCGGAUUGACUGGGUGUAAAGGGCGUGCAGCCGGGAAGACAAGUCCGAUGUGAAAUCCCGCGGCUCAACCGCGGAACUGCAUUGGAAACUGGUUUUCUUGAGUACCGGGGAGGUAAGCGGAAUUCCUGGUGUAGCGGUGAAAUGCGUAGAUAUAAGGAAGAACACCAGUGGCGAAGGCGGAUGACUGGACGGCAACUGACGGUGAGGCGCGAAAGCGUGGGGAGCAAACAGGAUUAGAUACCCCGGUAGUC
Molecule: ribosomal RNA, 442 nt
Filed under: uncultured bacterium
Lineage: Bacteria
Description: partial 16S ribosomal RNA
Rfam family: Bacterial small subunit ribosomal RNA
Source: RNAcentral